GCCUUCGUGGUGUAGUGGUCAGCACACUCGGCGCGUAUUCGAGAGGUCCGAGGUUCGAAUCCCGGUGGGGGCA
Molecule: transfer RNA, 73 nt
Filed under: Stegodyphus mimosarum
Lineage: Eukaryota; Metazoa; Arthropoda; Arachnida; Araneae; Eresidae
Rfam family: tRNA
About the family: Transfer RNA (tRNA) molecules are approximately 80 nucleotides in length.
Source: Rfam by way of RNAcentral